This 1081-nucleotide long non-coding RNA is filed under the name Equus asinus (donkey). RNAcentral describes it as "lncRNA (ENSEASG00005033408.1, ENSEASG00020036168.1)". Lineage: Eukaryota; Metazoa; Chordata; Mammalia; Perissodactyla; Equidae. The record is from RNAcentral.
GAGAAAUGUUGGGAGGAUUUCCAGAAAUCUUAAUUUUAUACCUUAUCCAGGAGAGAGUAGAAGGAAAAGAAAGAACCUCAAAAGUAAGAACUCAAAGAAGCUCAAGGGCAGGCCUCCAGUCGCACCAAUCCUGGUAGCUUUAGUCAACCCUAAAACUGGAGUUCAUACUCAGUUGACUACAGCAGGUAAAACAAAUAUUUGCCCAACCUGUCCCAUGUGUCAGGGCCUAAAAGAAAUAAAAGGGAUUGCAGUUUGCUUUUGUUUUUGUUCUAAUUACUAUUCUCAGACUGUUACCUCCCCAAGCCUAGUGCCAUGCUGCAUAGAUAUGCUGACUCCACUCAGCACCUGCCUCUGGAGCAGUUAGAAUGACUCUAAGAAAAACACUAAAAGGUUAGUAAGAUGAGAAAAAUAGGUGUCUGAGCAUAUUCUUUAACUGACAACAACUCAGAUCGUUUCAAAAAUUUGUUAAGAACUACUCAGCCAAUCUACCUGGCUUUGUAAAGGCCUCUUUCUCUGCAAAUCAGUAUGCUCAGAAAAAAUUCUGCUUCCUGGGAUCCACACAGCACAGCUCUAGGAGGUGCCAUUCCCAGCAAGUCUGUAUGAAUGGCACCCCAUGGAGUUGUGUGGAUUUUACAACCCGCAAGGCCAAACAUGGCAGCCCUCUUUGUUCCUGGCUCCACAUUAAGUGGGCUUUAAUGCUGAAGUCCAAAGACGUUCACUUCUUUCUGAGGACAAUCUCAGUUGUUUGUGGCAACAGGAAAGAACCUGCCUUUCCCCCCAGCACAUGUCUUUUGUCCUCAUUGGGGAUGGGCUGCCCAAUGGACAGUCUGCUUGCAAGCUUGUGUGGACUCGCCUGUGGGAAGUUCUCUGGGAAGAAGAUCAUCACGAAUGGCUGGAUCUAGGGCCCUCGAGUGAGGUCCUACAGUGCCCGUUGCAUGGUCAGAUCAGAGCACUCAUCCUGCAGCACUGUAAUGGCCUGUUUACUUCCCCAUCUGCCCUCACUACAUGGUCACCUGCCUUCCUAAAGCCAGGUACUGUAUCUGAUUCAUCGCUGCCCCCGUGCCUAUAGCAAUACAACCAC